GGAGACACCGAAGUGAGAGUAUAGGUAUUCAUUGAGAAUAAGAGUACUGAGCGUGACCACCUGGAGCAGUCAUAAGGAGGUCUACCUUCUCGUCGAUGACUAGCUCGAUGCUAUAGUUGUGUGUCUAGUUCUUUGACCUGAGAUGCAUCGACAGAUCACCUUGAGUGUGUUAUAGUUUGACUACACCAUAACUUGAUCUCCUAGUCAUUCGAAACUCUGAGGUGUAUGUUGGCUGUAGCAUAUUCAUUGUAGGAACUAGGUCGCACCA
This 268-nucleotide long non-coding RNA is filed under the name Elaeis guineensis (African oil palm). RNAcentral describes it as "long non-coding RNA (EGUI_LNC064559)". The record is from RNAcentral. Lineage: Eukaryota; Viridiplantae; Streptophyta; Magnoliopsida; Arecales; Arecaceae.